ACUCCUACGGGAGGCAGCAGUGGGGAAUAUUGGGCAAUGGACGAAAGUCUGACCCAGCAACGCCGCGUGGAGGAUGAAUGCCGUAAGGUUGUAAACUCCUUUUGAAGGGGACGAAUAUUCAAGUUCCGUAAGAAACUUGAACUGACUGUACCCUUAGAAGAAGCCCCGGCUUACUACGUGCCAGCAGCCGCGGUAAUACGUAGGGGGCAAGCGUUGUCCGGAUUUAUUGGGCGUAAAGAGCGUGUAGGCGGCCAAGCAGGUCAGCUGUGAAAACUCGAGGCUCAACCUCGAGAUGUCGGUUGAAACCGCAUGGCUAGAGUCCGGAAGAGGAGAGUGGAAUUCCCGGUGUAGCGGUGAAAUGCGCAGAUAUCGGGAAGAACACCCGUGGCGAAGGCGGCUCACUGGCCCGUUUCUGACGCUCAUGCACGACAGCGUGGGGAUCAAACAGGAUUAGAUACCCUGGUAGUC
This 468-nucleotide ribosomal RNA is filed under the name uncultured bacterium. RNAcentral describes it as "bacterial SSU rRNA". It matches the Rfam family "Bacterial small subunit ribosomal RNA", at positions 335 to 795 of the family's 1533-position model. The record is from RNAcentral.